GACGGAUGGGGCUAGCGUUGUUCGGAAUUACUGGGCGUAAAGGGCGCGUAGGUGGUUAAUUAAGUUAGGCGUGAAAGCCCUGGGCUCAACCUAGGAACUGCGUUUAAUACUGGUUAACUAGAGUAUGGUAGAGGAAAGCGGAAUUCCUAGUGUAGAGGUGAAAUUCGUAGAUAUUAGGAAGAACACCAGAGGCGAAGGCGGCUUUCUGGACCAUUACUGACACUGAGGCGCGAAAGCGUGGGGAGCAAACAGG
RNAcentral lists this ribosomal RNA (253 nucleotides) under uncultured bacterium. Its description in RNAcentral is "partial 16S ribosomal RNA". It matches the Rfam family "Bacterial small subunit ribosomal RNA", at positions 524 to 776 of the family's 1533-position model. The record is from RNAcentral.